AGGAAUCUGCCUGGUAGUGGGGGACAACGUUUCGAAAGGAACGCUAAUACCGCAUACGUCCUACGGGAGAAAGCAGGGGACCUUCGGGCCUUGCGCUAUCAGAUGAGCCUAGGUCGGAUUAGCUAGUUGGUGGGGUAAUGGCUCACCAAGGCGACGAUCCGUAGCUGGUCUGAGAGGAUGAUCAGCCACACUGGAACUGAGACACGGUCCAGACUCCUACGGGAGGCAGCAGUGGGGAAUAUUGGACAAUGGGCGCAAGCCUGAUCCAGCCAUACCGCGUGGGUGAAGAAGGCCUUCGGGUUGUAAAGCCCUUUUGUUGGGAAAGAAAAGCAGCGGGCUAAUACCUUGCUGUUCUGACGGUACCCAAAGAAUAAGCACCGGCUAACUUCGUGCCAGCAGCCGCGGUAAUGCGAAGGGUGCAAGCGUUACUCGGAAUUACUGGGCGUAAAGCGUGCGUAGGUGGUCGUUUAAGUCUGUUGUGAAAGCCCUGGGCUCAACCUGGGAACUGCAGUGGAAACUGGACGACUAGAGUGUGGUAGAGGGUAGCGGAAUUCCCGGU
This 559-nucleotide ribosomal RNA is filed under the name uncultured bacterium. RNAcentral describes it as "bacterial SSU rRNA". It matches the Rfam family "Bacterial small subunit ribosomal RNA", at positions 119 to 674 of the family's 1533-position model. The record is from RNAcentral.